Vitis vinifera (wine grape) is the source of this 674-nucleotide long non-coding RNA. RefSeq lists it as uncharacterized. The transcript has 2 exons. Lineage: Eukaryota; Viridiplantae; Streptophyta; Magnoliopsida; Vitales; Vitaceae. The record is from RefSeq and is a predicted model, not a curated record.
GGUUUUCAUAAAUAUAAGGAUUAAUAACAAAAUUCAGAAUUAAGAUAAAUGGAGAGGCGGCGUCUAAAAAAUAGAGUUGGGGAAGAGAAGAGAGGCUCUGAAUGGUUUCGUUCCCUCCGGCCGCGGCCUGCUGCAAAACAUGGUUACAAUUAUAACAACAUUGGAAGAUUGGUUCGAGGUUAGGGCAAGUGGCCCAGCCAUUCUUUCGAUCACUGGUCAACUACGAAAAUAACCCUAGUCUUUCUUAAAAUGACGGGAGAGUGUGCUGACACGCACGCUAGUCACGGGCGUCUCGGCUCCAGAGCCCCCCACACUCUUCUGCUCCAAAAUUUGAAUAACCCCAUCCACGCAACUACUCAGGACUUCGACAUGUGCACUGGAGACUAGACAAUUCACCCCUCCUAAUCAUCAAAAAAAUCAAAUCAACCCCUCCACGUGCCCGCCUCCUGAUAGAAGAAAAAAAAGGAAAGAAAGCCACUUUCGGUCGUUACUGAUUUUUAUUUUUAUUUUAUUUUUCUGGCCUUUCCAUGUGUUAGCAUGUCUGUCUGAGGAUUGGGGUCUUAGCUGGGCAAUCUGAUUGGCAAAUCUCAAUGACAUCAAUUCCAAUGCAAAAUUUGUAUUCAAUGUAUAUUUUUUUAAGUCAGUGAAAUAAUAUUGAAGAGUUCAUUUUUAGG